CCUACGGGAGGCAGCAGUGGGGAAUUUUGGACAAUGGGCGCAAGCCUGAUCCAGCAAUGCCGCGUGAGUGAAGAAGGCCUUCGGGUUGUAAAGCUCUUUUGUCAGGGAAGAAACGGCUGAGGAUAAUACCUUCGGCUAAUGACGGUACCUGAAGAAUAAGCACCGGCUAACUACGUGCCAGCAGCCGCGGUAAUACGUAGGGUGCAAGCGUUAAUCGGAAUUACUGGGCGUAAAGCGUGCGCAGGCGGUUUUGUAAGUCUGUCGUGAAAGCCCCGGGCUCAACCUGGGAAUUGCGAUGGAGACUGCAAGGCUUGAAUCUGGCAGAGGGGGGUAGAAUUCCACGUGUAGCAGUGAAAUGCGUAGAGAUGUGGAGGAACACCGAUGGCGAAGGCAGCCCCCUGGGUCAAGAUUGACGCUCAUGCACGAAAGCGUGGGGAGCAAACAGGAUUAGAUACCCUGGUAGUCCACGCCCUAAACGAUGUCUACUAGUUGUCGGGUUUUAAUUAACUUGGUAACGCAGCUAACGCGUGAAGUAGACCGCCUGGGGAUACGGUCGCAAGNUUAAAACUCAAAGGAAUUGACCGGNNGAGAGNGCGAGACGACGACGAGGAGGAGG
This 616-nucleotide ribosomal RNA is filed under the name uncultured bacterium. RNAcentral describes it as "bacterial SSU rRNA". It matches the Rfam family "Bacterial small subunit ribosomal RNA", at positions 338 to 947 of the family's 1533-position model. The record is from RNAcentral.